GACGAACGCUGGCGGCGUGCUUAACACAUGCAAGUCGAACGGAAAGGCCCUGCUUUUGUGGGGUGCUCGAGUGGCGAACGGGUGAGUAACCCGUGAGUAACCUGCCCUUGACUUUGGGAUAACUUCAGGAAACUGGGGCUAAUACCGGAUAGGAGCUCCUGCUGCAUGGUGGGGGUUGGAAAGUUUCGGCGGUUGGGGAUGGACUCGCGGCUUAUCAGCUUGUUGGUGGGGUAGUGGCUUACCAAGGCUUUGACGGGUAGCCGGCCUGAGAGGGUGACCGGCCACAUUGGGACUGAGAUACGGCCCAGACUCCUACGGGAGGCAGCAGUGGGGAAUAUUGCACAAUGGGCGGAAGCCUGAUGCAGCAACGCCGCGUGCGGGAUGACGGCCUUCGGGUGGUAAACCGCUUUCGCCUGUGACGAAGCGUGAGUGACGGUAAUGGGUAAAGAAGCACCGGCUAACUACGUG
Molecule: ribosomal RNA, 468 nt
Filed under: uncultured bacterium
Lineage: Bacteria
Description: partial 16S ribosomal RNA
Rfam family: Bacterial small subunit ribosomal RNA
Source: RNAcentral